UGAGGGCUCACUUUGAACACCCAUGAACACUAGGGAGAAAUCACAUGGAUUAUCUUGACUCGCAGCAAAGGGUAGAUAAUGUAUUCGUUAACCAUCAUUUUCCUAAAUAAUCAGUCACAACCUUACAGACACAUUGGGAACUUUCUUUUCAAGCUCCCGAGAGAGCUCGGGAAGGCCUGCUCAGGAAGACAAGACAUUUGGCCACGUGGUACCAGAUUCCUUCGGCACUCAAAAGGCUGAGGGACUAAGACCCUCUGAAAAACUGUCUGGGUGGCAGGACACUGUAGCUACUGUAUGCAAAGCCACAGUGGGAGGCACUGACCAUUGAACAAGUGCUCAGAGGCCAGAGAAGAAGCAGCUUUUCAAUGGAAUGAUCUCCGUGAUGCUCAAAACGAACACCUCCAAAGUGCAGGCAAAUUCCUCAACAUUGUUUUGGUAUUUGAGAUCAACAGAGAAGUUCAACUAAUACAUCAUCUACUAUCAAGGUCUCUCUCCACACUGGUCAACCCCUAUGACAUCAUCUGCAGCUUGAGAAACAUUGACCUGUGCAUUUCUUCACUUGUGAAUAUGAUUUCACGCUAUCAACAAUAUUAAACUGACUUACCAUGAGGUCCCUAACAGCCCACUGCCCACCAGAGGUAGUAGAAAAGAAAGAACACAGGAAAGUGGACCUGUUUAGAAAUGGUUCUUUGGAGCAACUCCCAUCUGUGUUAUCUGGAAAGCAGCAGUUCAGUUCACAGGUCUUGCCUCAGCACAUGUAUCUGUCUCAGCUGACAUCACUCUGGCAAUCAGUCUGAGUCCACGGAAGUUGCAAGAAACCAUGGAAAGCCACCAAAAGGUUUUGGGAGCGUUUCUCUCUUGACAAAAGGAGCUCAUCUAUGCAAUGUAAGGUAGACAAACAUGUAGUUAGCAAAGAAUCCUUUACCAUGUGUUCUUUUAUGUGCUUGCUUUAGCAGGAUGUCCUUUCAUUUGUGUCUUCCUUAGCCUUUUACCUGUGUCCACUUUAGGAAAACACUCUUUCAUGUGUUUGUCCCAGCAAAACAUCAUCCAACACAACUAACUUUCCAAAGAACAUUUUAGUUUCCACUUCACCUUUUCACUUCAGCUCAGUACCCAGUGGGCAGGAGUCCCACUUACCUAGGAGCCUAUCAUUGAUUUCCCAACUACCUGACAGCAUUUCACUUUUCAUAUAUAUCUAGAACAUGAUCAAAACAGGAGGGUAAGACACUAAACAGUUUGCCCAAUCUCCCACACUUUUCAAAUUAAUGAGUAUGCGACCAGUGUAGAUGAUUUUCUAGUUUCAACUGCUGCUAUUUUAGAAAAAAAAAAUUAUUUGGGGCAUUCGAUUGUUCUUGACUGGAUAAUUUCUAAUUUUUUUGUAACUUUUAUUUUGUUUUUACAAAGAUUUUAUUUCUCUGCUUUUAAUAACCAGAGUACAAAUGUCACUACUGACUUAGCGUGUAGUAACUGACAGAAAAUCUAAUGGUAAAUUUGCAUAGAUGAGAGUUCUCCAUAUAUUGAAAAGGAUGCUAGCAUUCUUGACAGCUUACGCUGUGCCACUAUUAUUAUGUGACACUCAAGUUCUUUAGAAAUGCUUAAGACUAAGCUGCUAAGUAAGUAUGUAGGCCUCUGAAAUAAUCUUCCCCAUACUGUGUUACUCUGAGUCCUUUACCAUUGUGUCUUUAUUUCUUGUCUCAUGGGCUUUCUCAUGUCCUGGCUGAAGGGUUUGUUCUUUCCUUAGACUCCUCCUCUCUUCUUGGUUAGUACCCAUCAUAGUGACAUGUGACAACCAUGUCUCUCAUGUGCUUCUGACUUUGCAUCAUAUUCCUCUGUGCCUCUUCCUUUGUUAUCUAGGUUCUCCCAUGAUUCCAUGUUUCUGCUUUUGCUGUUUUAACCAAGGCAUCUGUAAAGAGCCCUAGAGGUGGGCUGCAAAUUUUUCUUACUUGAAAACAUCUAAUAAGCAACAGAAGUCGUUCAGGCUUCUUUGCUUGUCUAUAUUUUAUCUUAGGAAUCUUUUCCUUGUUUGCUAACCUGAGUUGACAUUUGGAAGACUGGGGGAUCACAUGACUUAUAAAAUGAACAAGAAAUCAUUGUGCUUUCUAUGCUCUACCCACUCAACUGAGCACUCGAGUUUAAUCCUUAGGGCAAGUUUAAAAAAUUAGUAAUGUUGGCUCCUUUGACAGUUGUAAAGCUUGUAAGAAUGCCUUGGACUUGGUGACUAACUUCUUGUGGGACCUUUAAAUAUUAGUGAAAUGUUUGUGUGUCACGAAAGGAAACCAAAAAAAAAUGGAACCUUCACUAUUAGGAAGGAGUGAAGUCAUUCAGUGCUCUCGGCUGUCUCUGCCGCUUGUGUAUCCUCAGAAGGAAGCUGGGGACUUUUACUCCGAGGCUCCGCCCACACUGGCUUCAUGUAGUGUGUUAUUGAUGACGGUUGUACUCUAUAGUGGAAUGCCUGUGAAAACGAUUCAGAGGGAAGGUGGACUACGUAAGUUCAAAAGCAAUGAUACCUUUGAAUUUCUAUAUGACUAGCUCAAAUUGUUUAAUAAUAGCAGAGAUGUUAUAGUGGCAAAGUGAUAACUCUCUGUGACAUGAUGCCUGACUGAAGGCUGGGAAGAUUUACUCAGGCUCAUGGCUUUGGAGGUUUCAGGUCUGAUAUGGUGGGGAAUGUGUGGCUACAGAAACGUUGCCCAGCUCCAUCAAUGCUAACAGGAUCCUGAGGUGGAAUCCACUCUUCACACCGAGGCUAUUCAGGAUGCAGGACUGGAAGUAGAGGUAGAUUGUAGCCCUCAAAGGUAUGCCUGCAGUGAUCUAUGGAAUAGCACCACCCACUAGGGAAUCAAGUGAGAGAGAUUCCUCAGCUAUAAACUAAAACAGAUGCACAACUGUGUCACUUACAGUUCUAAGGUGGUUUUGAUCUUCAGUAAAAUUUAUGUGUAAUUUCCUGUUCAAUCACUCCACCCUCAGUGCAAUCCUGCUUUUUUUUAAAAAAAAAAAGCAUCUUCUAAAGCACAUAACUCAAUGCAAUGACGCCUCACAUUCCCAUUCCCAUUUUCUUGGCCUCAUUCUUAAGACCCGAUGUACUAAAAGGUUUCCCCUCCUGUCAACUGAUAGUUAAUAAAGGGCGAUGUAGGAUCCAGGGGUGUAUCUCAGUGGGGGUGUACCUGCCUAACAUGCACAAGACUUUGGGUUCAAUUUCCAGUGUCUUAAGAUUGUUAAAAUAUUAAUUUGAUAUGUUUUAGUAGUUGGACAAUGACUGGGAAUCAAUGAAUGGAUCACAUGGCCAGCAGCUACUCAAUGUAGAUGCUAAACUUCUAGUGGACUGGAGUCUUAUUAACUAGCUAAUGAGGCAGAACAUUUCAGUUUAGUGAUUGACUAUGGUGACAUUUCCCUUCCCUCUCUUCCUCCCCCCCAGUCUGUGUGCAAUGAAAACCUCUACCACAGGACAAAGAUUUCCCCAAUUUCCUCAGUCCAGGUGGACUAAGGCUGUUUCAGGGCUGGCUGUGAGUGGCAAACAAAAGUAUGAACCCCAUGUUGGGCCUUUCAAGGUUCUGAAUUAGCCAGGCUCUUGCAAAGGGCCAGGAGCUGGGAGUUGGGCCUAGUUAAUGCUGGGUGGAAAGCCAGGAUUUACUCACCACCUUUGUGACUCUUUGCAGCCAUCACUCAGAGUAUCUGGGACUGGAAGUUUCCUUUUUCACUCCUGAGUUCCUUUGUGAACAGCGUGAAGGGGCUGGGCAAUGUGCCUGGAUACAUUAUUUCACGGGCGCCUAGUUCUUCUUCGCCCUUUCUCCAGAAACGAGCUCUUUUUCCCCUUUCACUGAGACCCAAGUUUUCUCAUCUCUUGGUGACAUGGAAAUACACAGGAAGAGGAUAAGUCUUGUGAGAGCUAGUGAAGAGGAGAUGGGUGAUGGGGAUGGAUACUUUCGCCUGAAUCCCCAAGAAAAAGCUGUUCCUUAUAAACAGAGCAGUUGCUGUUACGAAGAACAAAACCACAUUGUUCCUUUCUUUAGUUCUGAAUGGAGUUGGUUAAGCUUUCAGCGUUAAGUGUGAAAAGGGGCAAGGAAAAGGACAUACCCAUGCUCAGCAAUUUUAAAUAGGAAACUUUGAGGAAUACUGGUGUAUGCCAGUUACAGAAGGAUGAGACCUCAUCCAUGAGAGUAUGUACCUUUGAUUGGCUUCUGCACUAUACUUUAAAAGGAAGUUCGCCGUGGAAUACCACAGCAAACCGAACGUGCAGCCUGUCAGCAUCAGAAAUCGCAGCAGCCAUAUCGUCUCUUUUCAGGGCCUGGAGAAGCAAGAGUCCAAAUGGUGAGUAUCUGGCAGGUGUCACUCACUGUGCUGUUUCUGGAGCACUUUUGGCCCCAUCCUGGCACAUGGAGAGACAGGCAGAUCCUGACUCAAAUCGUACCUGUAUGUGGAGUUUCUUAUGCAAGAUGCAGGAGGACGCCCAGGGAAAGCACACCUCAUCACAACAUUGAUUCAUUCCUUCUCAUUCGUCGCCGGGAGGAGCUUAGAAGCUUUAUCUCCUGUAUAGUGGUCUGGGAGGAUCCCGUGCUUGCUCUCCUGUCCUCCUCUUAACACAAAGUUGAAAGGAACAAGAGUCCCCGAGCUUACAGAAUGCUUUCUGUUUGGGUCUUUCCAGCUCUUGUUGGUGUCCCUGUGUGCAGGAGUCACUUUAGAGACUGAGUUAGUACACUGGUCUCACAGUAGGGGACAGCUAGAAGUCCAGAGAACAUUAGACGAAAUCAGAUAAAUAAUAAUUGGUUUCUUCUCUAAUUCUAUUUCUCAAUGAAUCCUCAAGAUGUCAUUUUUUUUAAGACUCAUUUACUUUGAUUGUCUGGGGCCUUUGCACGUAGGUGUGUGUGUGCACCAUGAGUGUGCCUGGUUCCUGAGGCGACCAGAAGAGAGCAUCAGAUGCCCUGAAACUGUAGUUAGAAACAGUUGCAAGCCACCAAUCAGAUGCUAUGAACUGAACCCAAUCUCUCUUUGAGAGUCUCAAUUCCUCUUAACUGCUGAGAUGUUUCUCCAGCCCCUAAAUGUAUCAACUCUUCCUCCUCACUCAGUAUCACAGGGACUGGGUUAUCAGUCCCUAGGGACCCCAUGUGGCAUGCAGAUAGAUGACCCUGACUUCUUCCCAGCUUGGCUGACAGUCCCUGGUGAUUCUUUCAUGGUUUCAGGAUUUAUAGGAAAUUGAUAAACUCAUAAUCUCAUAAAAUAGAAACAGAAACAAUAGUUCCAUAUUAUGGUUUAAGCUAGAGUUCUAGUGUAGUUUCAAGGUUAGAAACAUGAUUUUUACAUUCCAUUCUAUUAACUAGAUUUCAAACGGUAACCAUAAUCUAAAUAUUUCGGAAUGCAAGCAUAGUUGAAGUCAAUUUUUCAUGAUGGGUGUGAGCACAAGUUUAUUACAUUUAAUUAUUUUCUUGUUCUGCUGGCCCCCAUGCAUGUUAUCCAAGUGUGGUACCAAUGAGUAUGUCUUUGAUGUAUAGAUUAUUAAAUUUAAAGGAAAGACAGUAAUGGGGACUGGAGGGAUGUCUCAGUGAUUAAAGCACUUGGUGGCUUACAGAGGACGAGGUUCAGCUCCCAGUCUCCACAGGGCAGUUCACUACCGCUAGACCUGGAGAUUCAGAGGUCCUGAUAACUUCUACCUCUAAAAGCACCGAGCAUGCACAUGGUAGACAUGGUAGACAGACAUAUAUUCAGGCAAAGUACCCAUUCAUACAAAAUGAAGAAAAAUUAAGAAGAAACACCAAUAAUGUUAUUUCCAAGGAAAACAGAUACUGUUGUUUCAUGAUGAGUGCAUGUGCACAUAAAUACAUGCAGUGUUUUGGGGGUUCUCACGAAUACAUGGAGAAGUCAGGAAACAACUUUGUACAACAGGUCCUCACCUUCAGCCUUUAAGUGGGUUCUGGAGAUUAAACUCAGGUCACUGGGCUUGCAUAGCCCAUACCUUUACCACUAAGACAUCCACCAACCCUCAAAGAUAUGUCUUUGACAUGAAGCUAUGUGUGUACCAUGCUGAAAGAGAGGAUUAUGUGGUAGUAGUGAGUAGGGAGAGAUGGCAUUUGGUUUGAAGUUUGAGAAGCCACUGGAGGGUGUUUAAACGAAUUGAUACUCAGCAAAACGCUUCAAUUACAAAAUGACAAUGAUAGCAGCAUCUACUUCACAGGGUCCUUGCAAGGACUGAGUUGAUGCAGCCCACAGAACACUCAACCAGGUAUAGCAUUUAGUCACUACUGAAUUAACACCAGGCAUUACUAAUAUUAUCAUCAGUAACAGGAAACGAAAUGAUAGUCUAGAGAAGGGAUGUUUGCUUAAGAGGUUUCUAUUAAUUUUGCUUAUGCUUAUGUGUAUUGGUGUGGGUGCAUGUCACGUGUGUGCAGGUGUCCACAGAAGCCAGAAGUGGGUACUGGACUACCAGCUCCAGGCGAUAGUAUACUGCCCAACAUGAAUGCUAUGUGCCAAACUCUGGUCUUUGGGAAGAGCACCAAGGACUUUUAACUGCUGAGCCAUCUUUCCAGCCCUAAAGUGUGAAAUGCCCAGAAUAACUCCCUAAGAGCAAAGAGUUUCUGGGAAAACCAGGAGGAAAACCAGAAGGUAGAGACCCCACAAACUAGGCUAGUAAUUUUGGUGACUCAAAUCAGGAAAACUUGAGUAAGGUGUAUAGCCCAGCAUUGGGUGAAAAAUAAGUCAAACAAUUUCUGUGGGCCACAGCAAGUAUCAGGGCCACUUGGAUAGGCUCCAGUCAAGAAGGCAAUGUGGGGAUUAAAGUUUGCUUUAGGUCUUCACGGAGCCAGGGAGCCAAAGAAGCCAGCCAAUCUUCAAGCCGGAAAGGGAAACAGUCCAUUUCUAACCUGUAGCUGUUCAAUGAAAUGUUAUGAAUUAGAAGAGAUGAGCAGAGGCAGAAAGAGCUUUCCUGGCAAAUUGACGCCACAGCUAUCCCCAGAAAAUACCCAGGACACUGGAGAUGCUCCCAUCAUGUUUGCUGGUUAAAUGACCAACUGAUUUUAUGGUGACAGAUUCAGUGGAUGGCCAUGAGCCUGGGGACAUUAGUCCUGUAGCCUGUGCCUGCACCACUGCAGACUGUCUUGCCUCCGUUUCCCCGAUAUGCUUCUCCGCCCUCGUACCAUUCAUUUAGGGAAGGAUGGUACUGGGUAUGUUGUGUCGUCAACUCCGAGAAGGACAGGAAAGGAAUGUGUCAAUUCAGUUGGAAGCUGAAGAGGUACUGCAUCGUUCCUCGGAAUACAUAGCCAUAUGCAGAGUUCAAGACCUCACAGAGUGAAACGCCAUGUACUCAGGAACUCAGAGAACUGGGCAAUCCUCUUGAAGUGAAAUGACCAGGUCCUCUGCCUUGUUUUUGCUGAACUUUGUAAAACAGACAGAUCUGGAUGUAGAGGGGAAAGUGGGAAAGCUUUUAUGGGAACAAAGGGAACAAAGAAUCCUGUGUGUAUGUGUGUGUGAGUAUGAGUGUGAAUGUAUGUGUGUGUGCAUGUGUGUGAGAGAGUGUGUGUAUGAGAGUGUGAGUGUGUGUGCAUGUAUGUGUGUGAGUGUGUAUGUGUGUAUAUAUAUGUGUGAGUGUGUGUAUGUGUGUGUGAUUGUGUGUGAGAGAUCAUGUGUGUGCGAGUGCAUAUGUGUGUGCAUGUGUGAGUGUGUAUGUGUGAGUAUAUAUUAUGAGUGUGUGUGUAUGUGUGUGUAUGUAUGUAUGAGUGUGUGUGUGUGACUGUGUGUGUGUGUGUAUAUGCAUGUGCAUGUGUGUUUUACUUCUGAAACAGUAAGGAUGUGGGGAGCACUGUUCACUCAUAUUAAUCAGUAAUGGCCAUGCUUCAUGAAAACAUGUUUGAUCUGUUGGUCAAAGAGAUUAUAUUUGCUUUUGGGGGGUUUGGAAACAUAUUAGCAGUUUUGGAAUCAGUAAAUAAUGAUACUUCUUAACAUUUAAAGUCCCUAAUCAAGAAAGCACAAGAAGCAAAUGGAGUAGGUAGGAGACAAUUGAUGCUCUAAAAGGAAUGUUACUAUCCAAGCUGAAUGCAUAUGUGGCUAUAGGAGGAAAAGGCAAAAUGAAGAAAAAAGAGCAAGAAGGUCUCCAGGGUUUAGAGCCUAUGAGAUACUAAGUCCAUCAAGUGCUUCUGAAACAGCUCAAAUCAGGUGUUAGUGAGUGAGACAGUAGAAAGAAUGGAAGAGUGUGUGUAUUUCUACUUCAAUUGUAUGAACGCUCUUGUAAAAGGGAGCAGAGACUUAUGUUAACCUUGCCCAGAAGAAUUCGGGUCAGAGAGGACUAACUUUUGAAUUAGGAGAUUAAUCUGACACUAACAGUGGGUAGCAUUGAAAAGUCACUUCACUUCUGGUGUCCUGGGUUUCCUGAACCAUCAAGUGUGGGAAUUAGAUGCUGUACCCUUGGGUAUCCUCCAGUUCUGACUUUCUAUGGCUCCCUGAGAUGGCUGUAGCACCUGUUUUCAAUUUUAGCUCUUAACGUGUGUCUCCUUAUUCUUUAAAUCUGUCUUUCUAGUAAGCUGUGGCAUUCAUUACCAGGCUUCCAGUCAUUUCCUUUUAUUCUAAAGAGACUAUAUAUUCUAUUUUUCAGCUCUAGCUUUUCCAGUCCCCUAGUGUUGAAACCGUUCUUGUGAGAACAGCUGUAAAAUCAUCUCUGGGUUUUAGUGGAAGCCAUGGCUGGGAAGCCCCACUGGCCAAUGGUACUUGCAAGGUUCAGCCUAAGAAGAUGGUCUCCUUGUUUUGAUGAGAAUUUGAAGUGAUGUUCUGUACUGUUACAAGCUGUUUUGACUUAUCUGGGACAAUAAGGAAGGCCUCCUGUUUCCUGAACUUUGUUAUUUCCGCCCUGGGCUUCUUCCUCUCUGGUGCUCAACAUCCUUAAAGUUUCCUUGUAGGAUAGCAGUGAUCUGCUCUUCAUUAGUCAGCUUGCCUCCUCUCACAGCUUUCUCCUCUGCUCAGUUACCACAGAGUUAACGGUGGUCAUUACCAGUCAGCCACAUUAGCCACGCUUUCAGCCAGGAACCAAAAGGGAACAGUCCCUCUGGCGGAAUUUGGCAGAAGAGACAGGGAAUUUGAUUCUACCUGUAGAUGGCAAAGAGGUGCUCAUUGAUGAGUCAAGCAAAAAGGAUACACUGAUACCCAGUCAGCCUUCACUAGAGAGGAGACGGGAGGCAGUUCCUUGGCCUCCUACUACUGCUGGAAUCUGCAUCAGGAGGGUCACGAGUUCAGACCCCACUGAACCUGAAAGGAAAAGAUUUUUCCCACUGAAGUCAUCUCACCUAGACACUCCAUCCCUUCAACUCCCAUCCUCGCACACUUAGUCUAUGCUACAGAAAGACAUGAACUGUGUGCAGAGAGCAGUUCUCACGUGGGCGUUCACACAGGUCACCCAUUGCUUGACCCUAUUUAGUGUUUACGCUGCACUCCACGUCCCAACUCUGUCUCAAAGCCUCCUUGCUUUGAUCACCCUUUAAAUCUUAACAAUAAUACUAGGUUAGUGCCUAGGCCCCUUCUCACAGCUAAUAUUUAAGACAAAACUACUAGCACAGGAACACAGCAGGUUGGGCUGGAGGCUGUAAACAGCGGGAUAGAAGUUCAAAGGGCUUCCGGGAAAUACCAUCUCAUCUCUUCUACUGGAUACCGGCUCAGGUUUCUUCUCUAGUUUCUAGGAAGAAAGGUCUUCGCUGCUUGAGACUUUCAGGAUCCUUACCUGGUACUCUUAUCUCUCCUGUCCACUGCUAUUCCCAGACCUCCACUAUCCCUCUUAUAUUUUUGGUUGUGAGCCUAGCCUUUAACGGCUGAGCCAUCUCUCCAGCCCUCCACUAUCCCUCUUAUACUCUAGCAGGUAAGAUGCAUAUAGUGCACGGUAGUAACAUUAUCAGGUUGCUCCCACCAUAAUGCCCAUGGUGCACAGAACCUCUUCCUCUCGUUCCCCUCACCCCUCCCAUAGUGGUGGUGGUGAUGGGUGUAUGAUGUUACUUUCUGUUCCUGCCACAAACCAUCUAUGGAAAUUCACUUACAAGGAGGAAAGAUUUGUUUUUGCUUAGAGUAUCAGAGAUUUUUAGGCUAUGAUGUCUUGAUUCCAUUGCUCUGAGCCUGUGGUAUGUCAUGGACUUUAAUCCUGGGGAGGUAAAAGGAGAAAUCUAUUCACCAAAGACAGAGAAGGCAGCAGUUGCCCAAAGAAAAAUUUCAAUCCAGGACUAGCUUGGUAAAGCAAUACAUUUUUUGGCUUUAUUUAGAGGAAUACAGGCAGUAAAACCACUGAGAAAUCCCUUCGGCAACUUAUAAAUAGGCCAUAUUUUACAAUAAAGCAUUCCACCCAUAGCUAGAUAUAUUCACAAAAACUACACCUCUGAUGGGUCCUACUGGCCAACCUAUGGGACACUAGACCACCAGUCUCCCUUUAAUUCCCAGGAACUGUUUAUCUCUUAAGUAACUUCAGGAAGAGGAGGAGGUUUUGUGAGUCUAUGGGGCCCUUCCACCCAUUCUAAGAGGUAAUAGUGCCUUGGUUAGGGUUCCCAUUGCUGGGAAGAGACACCAUGACCACAGCAACUCUUACAAAGGGUCUGGCUUACAGUUUCAGAGAUUCAGUCCAUUACUGUCAUGUCAGGGAGCAUGGCAGCAGGUAGACAGACAUGGUACUAGAGGUGCUAAGAGUCCUACACCUUGAUCCAAAGGCAUCCAGGAAGUGACUCUCUUUCUGGAAGCUAGGAGGAGGCUCUCUUUCCACACUAGGCAUAGCUUGAGCAUUGGGUAUCCUCAAAGUACAAGUGUCAUACUUCCUCCAACAAGGUCACACCCAUUUUUAACAAAGUCACACCUCUUAACAGUGCCACUUCCCAAGGGCCAAGCAUAUUCAAAUUACCACAUUUCACCCUCUAAAUCCAUAGGCUUGUUCAAACACAUGAGUCUAUGGGUGCCAUACCCAGUUAUAGCAUAAUGUAAAAUAUGUUUAGUCCAAUCUCAAAACUUUCCAUAGUCUAUAACAGUCUCAAUAUUAAAAGUCUGAAAUUCAAUAUCUCUUCUAAGAUUCACGCAAUCGCUUAGCUGUAAUCCCAUAUAAAAUAAAAAACCAAAAGCAGAUCAUAUAUUUCAAAUAUAUCAGAGCACAAGAUAUACCAUUCCAAAACAUCAUAGUGAGGCAAUACUGGACCAAAGCGAUACCAAAACCAGCUGGGAAAACUCCAAACUCUGCAUCUUCAUGUCUGAUGUCCAACUCCUUUCAGCUUUGUUGACUGCAAUACAAUUCUUUCUCUUUGGCUAUUUCCAUUCCCUGUUAGCAACUUAUCCCGCAGCUCUGACAUCUCUAACCUCCUAGGGUUUCCAAGUCAACUUCAACUUCAUAGCUUCUUGUUUCAGUGCCCAGGAUCCACAUAUGAUCUUCUGGGAUGUUCCAGCUCUGCCCUCUGCCACACUCUAGGCUCUGGUUGACUUCUCUCUACUUCUGCUGCUGUUCUUGGUGGUCAUCCCAUAGUAGUGACAUCUGCAAUAUGAUGGGGUCUCCCGCUGCAACUAGGCUUUACAAAUAGCCUCUCAAAGGCUCCCUUCAUGAUGCCAAGACUCAACCUCUUUGCAUGACUCCUUCAGUCCUGGGCCAUCAAUUACAACUGAGGCUGCUCCUUCACCAAUGACCUUUCUUGGCCUCUCACAAUACCAAGCCUUAGGUACUCUCCACAAUCCCUUCAUGUCUUCAAAACCAGUACCACAUGAGUGAUUCUUAUACAUGAACAAGUCCAGCUUCUUUGGGCUCUCAGAAAACAUUUCCUAGAAGAUUUCACUUCAGUGAUGCUGGUCUCUUCUUAAUCACCACUGAUUUAACCCUAAGACAGAUAGUAAUAGACCUGAUGUCAAGGGAAUCUUCACAACUAUUCUAUUUAAGAUAAGUUAACCCAGAGGAAGUAGAUUCUCAUUAGUUGGCAAUACGCACUUAAGUACAAGAGUGUGGAGACACUGAUCACUUUCUGCUACAUGGGAAGGAAGUAGUAGACACUGAGGUCCCACUAUCCCAGUCAAGAACUUAACUCCUACUGAUCUUUUUUUUCCCAGACCUCUUCUAUAAAGGGAGGUAUCAUUAAGACAGGAUCAACUACCCCCAAGGAGGCAAAUUAGCUAUUUAGGGAAUGCAAACCCAUAUCUACAGCCUAAGCUGAUAGGAAGCAGUGUCUAUUCUAUGUGAGGGACAGCAAUGAGCCUAGCUUUACAGAAACCAUGGAACUAAGAAUAGUCAGAGAUGAGGGAUGACAUGAAAGUCUGUCUGUGUUACCUUUUCAACUGUUAGAGAUGGUGACUUGUGAAGGGGGCUGAGGAAUGGGGGAAAGAUAGUCAGUAGAGACAAAUUGUUAAAAUAUUGGUUUUUACUUUUUUGAAGUUAUAAUAUAAUGACAUCAUUUCCCUCUUCCCUUUCCUCUCUCCAAACCCUCCUUGCUCUUUUUCCUUGACCUUUCUCUUCAUUAAUUGAUAUAUUAUUUGACAAUUUUGAUGAUUUUUCUGAAGAAUCAUGUUAGCUAAACCCCUGUAGUGAAAAUUUUGGAAUUUUUAUUUCUUUAAAGAAAACACAGAAAUAUUAUAAUGCUCUGUUUUUGUUUUAAUCCCAGGUGUGAACUAUGGGGCUGUUUCAGACUGUCCACAGCAGCUGACUAUGAUUUGCCUCAUGCUCUAGCAGGGGUGUGAUUUUGCCAGUCGUAAAUACUUUCACAGGUUGUGUGAUGCUUGAAAUUGUGGGAAGUUUUUAAAGGUACAUAAAAUGCUAGGGCCCUGGAGACAAGGUGGGUUAUUGGCUGUCAUUGGUUCUUGUUGGUCAUGGCUUGUUAAGUAGUCAUGCACAAAGAACAAGAAUAAGAAAUUAGAUAUCCUGACAGGCAAAGAUCAAACUUACUCCAUGGAACCUGAUGCUUCUAAUCAGUGGGAAGCAGUCUAAUGAUAACAUCUCCACUUUCCUCUCUCUCCUUUUUUCUCUCUAGGAUUAAGGGAGUGAAAGGGUGGUGAAGGAAGGAAGGAAGAAAGAAGUAGCAAAAGAAUAACUACAAGCCCCUAGUUAUUCAAUUGCGGGGGGGGGGGAACACCACAGAGAUACUAGAUGACAUCCCUAAAACAAAACAAAGAUUAACAAGAGAAAAUAUUCAUUGGUGUAAUAAACAUUUUAUGUGGUGUAGGAACCUUCAGAGUGAGACCUCAGUGACCUGGGGAAAUCUGAGCAUGUUUAUAGAUAGGCAGAAGUAGGUGCUUUGAAAAAGAAUGUGGUCUAAUUAUGGCAACCUGGGAAACGCAGCAUAGGAAGACCCAGUCACUGCAGUUCUUCGUAGCCUUUCUAUAGACACCUCUACAGGGUAGGACACCUGUCACUUGAGUGCCUGAAAUAUAGAAGAAAUGGGUUAGUUCCAAGAAGAAUCUUUUAGAUUUUAUGGUCUAUUUUAGUAAUGAAAUGGUGGCAGAAAUUUCCUUCCCAUGAGACACCCAGAGAGAAUGGCAGGAGAGAGUCAACAUAUACUCUUGCCUUUGUGGUCUUCUUUUCCCUCAUCGUAAAAUACUCAGAAUGCCAAGGUGCCAUCUUUGGGGUGGGAAAGAAAGCAGAGAUGACAGGCAAGUGGGAAUUCUUUCUGUCCACUUGAAGUGGGCUUGGUCUGAAUUGGCGAAAGACCCAAUGUGAUGAAUACAGAAAAGUGUCUUGUUUCAUAUAAGCACAGAGGUAUACAUAAUUAUCUAUUAAAAUGAUCAUAUUACUCUUGAGAAUCACCCAUAUCUGCACUUUUUCUUAUGACAUGAAAUGAAAACAGACUGCUUACA
Molecule: non-coding RNA, 13761 nt
Organism: Rattus norvegicus (Norway rat)
Lineage: Eukaryota; Metazoa; Chordata; Mammalia; Rodentia; Muridae
Source: RefSeq, a predicted model, not a curated record